Molecule: long non-coding RNA, 231 nt
Filed under: Ananas comosus (pineapple)
Lineage: Eukaryota; Viridiplantae; Streptophyta; Magnoliopsida; Poales; Bromeliaceae
Description: long non-coding RNA (ACOM_LNC003794)
Source: RNAcentral
UUAAUACUUUGGAUGAGAAAUGUGUAAGGUUAGGAUGAUAUUAGUCAGUUAGAGUUGAGUGGUCCCCCUAGGGUUGAUUGGUCCCCACUGGUUUAUAGUAUUUAAUCCAUUGAUUUGAUUAGAAAUGAUGAAAAGAGUUGAUCCAAAGGCUCUCUCUCUCUCUCUCUCUCUCUCUCUCUCUCUCUCUCUCUCUCUCUCUCUCUAUAUAUAUAUAUAUAUAUAUAUAUAUUU